This 590-nucleotide ribosomal RNA is filed under the name uncultured bacterium. RNAcentral's name for it is "partial 16S ribosomal RNA". It matches the Rfam family "Bacterial small subunit ribosomal RNA", at positions 355 to 1375 of the family's 1533-position model. The record is from RNAcentral.
UGGGGAAUUUUGGACAAUGGGCGAAAGCCUGAUCCAGCAAUGCCGCGUGUGUGAAGAAGGCCUUCGGGUUGUAAAGCACUUUUGUCCGGAAAGAAAUCCUUGGCUCUAAUACAGUCGGGGGAUGACGGUACCGGAAGAAUAAGCACCGGCUAACUACGUGCCAGCAGCCGCGGUAAUACGUAGGGUGCAAGCGUUAAUCGGAAUUACUGGGCGUAAAGCGUGCGCAGGCGGUUUGCUAAGACCGAUGUGAAAUCCCCGGGCUCAACCUGGGAACUGCAUUGGUGACUGGCAGGCUAGAGUAUGGCANGGAGGGGGGUAGAAUUCCACGUGUAGGCAGUGAAAUGCGUAGAGAUGUGGAGGAAUACCGAUGGCGAAGGCAGCCCCCUGGGCCAAUACUGACGCUCAUGCACGAAAGCGUGGGGGAGCAAAACAGGAUUAGAUACCCUGGUAGUCCACGCCCUAAACGAUGUCAACUAGUUGUUGGGGAUUCAUUUCCUUAGUAACGUAGCUAACGCGUGAAGUUGACCGCCUGGGGAGUACGGUCGCAAGAUUAAAACUCAAAUGAAUUGACGGGGUCAUAGCUGUUUCCU